GCUCCGGUAGUGUAGCCCGGCCAAAUGAUGGCUAAGCAUAAGGGGCUUUCACCCCCUUGACCCGGGUUCGAAUCCCGGCCGGAGCACCA
This 89-nucleotide transfer RNA is filed under the name Candidatus Freyrarchaeum guaymasense. RNAcentral describes it as "tRNA-Glu". It matches the Rfam family "tRNA". Rfam says of the family: Transfer RNA (tRNA) molecules are approximately 80 nucleotides in length. Their secondary structure includes four short double-helical elements and three loops (D, anti-codon, and T loops). The record is from RNAcentral. Lineage: Archaea; Promethearchaeati; Candidatus Freyarchaeota; Candidatus Freyrarchaeia; Candidatus Freyrarchaeales; Candidatus Freyrarchaeaceae.